AAUGGGGGCAACCCUGAUCCAGCCAUGCCGCGUGAGUGAAGAAGGCCUUAGGGUUGUAAAGCUCUUUCACCCGUGACGAUGAUGACGGUAGCGGGAGAAGAAGCCCCGGCUAAUUCCGUGCCAGCAGCCGCGGUAAUACGGAAGGGGCUAGCGUUGUUCGGAAUUACUGGGCGUAAAGCGCGCGUAGGCGGCCAUGCAAGUGAGGCGUGAAAGGCCUGGGCUCAACCUGGGAACUGCGUUUCAGACUGCACGGCUUGAGUCCGGGAGAGGGUGGUGGAAUUCCCAGUGUAGAGGUGAAAUUCGUAGAUAUUGGGAGGAACACCAGUGGCGAAGGCGGCCACCUGGCCCGGUACUGACGCUCAAGUGCGAAAGCGUGGGGAGCAAA
Molecule: ribosomal RNA, 385 nt
Filed under: uncultured bacterium
Lineage: Bacteria
Description: bacterial SSU rRNA
Rfam family: Bacterial small subunit ribosomal RNA
Source: RNAcentral